UAAUACGGAGGGUCCGAGCGUUAUCCGGAAUCAUUGGGUUUAAAGGGUCCGUAGGCGGGAAUCUAAGUCAGUGGUGAAAUCUUACAGCUCAACUGUAAAAUUGCCAUUGAUACUGGAUUUCUUGAAUUAGUGUGAAGUGAUUAGAAUGUGUAGUGUAGCGGUGAAAUGCAUAGAUAUUACACAGAAUACCAAUUGCGAAGGCAGAUCACUAACACUAUAUUGACGCUAAGGGACGAAAGCGUGGGGAGCGAACAGGAUUAGAUACCCUGGUAGUCCACGCCGUAAACGAUGGAUACUAGCUGUUGGAGAGCAAUCUUCAGUGGCUAAGCGAAAGUGAUAAGUAUCCCACCUGGGGAGUACGUUCGCAAGAAUG
This 373-nucleotide ribosomal RNA is filed under the name uncultured Flavobacteriia bacterium. RNAcentral describes it as "bacterial SSU rRNA". It matches the Rfam family "Bacterial small subunit ribosomal RNA", at positions 521 to 896 of the family's 1533-position model. Lineage: Bacteria; Pseudomonadati; Bacteroidota; Flavobacteriia. The record is from RNAcentral.